CCUACGGGUGGCAGCCGUGGGGAAUAUUGCACAAUGGGGGAAACCCUGAUGCAGCAACGCCGCGUGAAGGAAGAAGGGCUUCGGAUUGUAAACCUCUGUUCUCAGUGAGGAAAAAUGACGGUAGCUAAGGAGAAAGCGACGCCUAACUACGUGCCAGCAGCCGCGGUAAUACUUAGGUGGCAAGCGUUGUCCGGAAUUACGGGGUGUAAAGGGAGCGCAGGCGGGAAGCCAAGUCAGCUGGGAAAACUACGCGCUUAACUUGUAGACUGCAGUUGAAACUGGUUUGAUUGAGUGAAGUAGAGGUUGGCGGAAUUCCGAGUGUAGCGGUGAAAUGCGUAGAUAUUAGGAGGAACACCGGUGGCGAAGGCGGCCAACUGGGCUUUAACUGACGCUGAGGCUCGAAAGUGUGGGGAGCAAACAGGAUUAUAUACCCGGGUAGUC
This 441-nucleotide ribosomal RNA is filed under the name uncultured bacterium. RNAcentral describes it as "partial 16S ribosomal RNA". It matches the Rfam family "Bacterial small subunit ribosomal RNA", at positions 338 to 795 of the family's 1533-position model. The record is from RNAcentral.